ACUCAGUUCGUCUAAAGGUAGGGCCGCUGCUUUACACGCAGCAGACGUAGGUUCGAUUCCUGCACUGAGUACCA
This 74-nucleotide transfer RNA is filed under the name compost metagenome. Its description in RNAcentral is "tRNA-Val". It matches the Rfam family "tRNA". Rfam says of the family: Transfer RNA (tRNA) molecules are approximately 80 nucleotides in length. Their secondary structure includes four short double-helical elements and three loops (D, anti-codon, and T loops). The record is from RNAcentral.